Molecule: ribosomal RNA, 667 nt
Filed under: uncultured Scenedesmus
Lineage: Eukaryota; Viridiplantae; Chlorophyta; Chlorophyceae; Sphaeropleales; Scenedesmaceae
Description: bacterial SSU rRNA
Rfam family: Bacterial small subunit ribosomal RNA
Source: RNAcentral
CGGACGGGUGAGUAACGCGUGAGAACUUACCUUUUGGUGGGGGAUAACAGCGGGAAACUGCUGCUAAUACCCCAUAAUGCUGAGGAGCUAAAAGUGAAAACUGCCAAGAGAGAGGCUUGCGUCUGAUUAGCUAGUUGGUGGGGGUAAAGGCCUCCCAAGGCGACGAUCAGUAGCUGGUCUGAGAGGAUGAUCAGCCACACUGGGACUGAGACACGGCCCAGACUCCUACGGGAGGCAGCAGUGGGGAAUUUUCCACAAUGGGCGAAAGCCUGAUGGAGCAAUACCGCGUGAGGGAUGAAGCAUCGUGGUGUGUAAACCUCUUUUCUUAAGGAAGAAUCAAUGACGGUACUUAAGGAAUAAGCACCGGCUAACUCUGUGCCAGCAGCCGCGGUAAUACAGAGGGUGCAAGCGUUGUCCGGAAUGAUUGGGCGUAAAGCAUCUGUAGGUGGUUUCUAAAGUCAACUGUUAAAUCCCAGAGCUCAACUUUGGCCAAGCAGUUGAGUACUUAGAGACUUGAGUACGGUAGGGGUAGAGGGAAUUCCUUGUUUAGCGGUGAAAUGCAUAGAGAUAAGGAAGAACACCAGUGGCGAAAGCGCUCUACUGGGCCGUAACUGACACUGAGAGAUGAAAGUUAGGGGAGCGAAAGGGAUUAGAUACCCCUGUAGUC